RNAcentral lists this ribosomal RNA (154 nucleotides) under Salix viminalis (osier). It matches the Rfam family "5.8S ribosomal RNA". From Rfam's summary of the family: 5.8S ribosomal RNA (5.8S rRNA) is a component of the large subunit of the eukaryotic ribosome. It is transcribed by RNA polymerase I as part of the 45S precursor that also contains 18S and 28S rRNA. The record is from RNAcentral. Lineage: Eukaryota; Viridiplantae; Streptophyta; Magnoliopsida; Malpighiales; Salicaceae.
GACUCUCGGCAACGAUAUCUCGGCUCUCGCAUCGAUGAAGAACGUAGCGAAAUGCGAUACUUGGUGUGAAUUGCAGAAUCCCGUGAACCAUCGAGUCUUGAACGCAAGUUGCGCCCGAGGCCUCCUGGUCGAGGGCACGUCUGCCUGGGUGUCA